Molecule: ribosomal RNA, 164 nt
Filed under: uncultured bacterium
Lineage: Bacteria
Description: partial 16S ribosomal RNA
Rfam family: Bacterial small subunit ribosomal RNA
Source: RNAcentral
UAGGGAAUCUUCCACAAUGGACGCAAGUCUGAUGGAGCAACGCCGCGUGAGUGAAGAAGGGUUUCGGUUCGUAAAGCUCUGUUGUUAAAGAAGAACGUGGGUAAGAGUAACUGUUUACCCAGUGACGGUAUUUAACCAGAAAGCCACGGCUAACUACGUGCCAG